CCUACGGGGGGCAGCAGUGAGGAAUCUUGGUCAAUGGACGAGAGUCUGAACCAGCCAAGCAGCGUGAAGGAUGACUGCCCUCUGGGUUGUAAACUUCUUUUAUAUGGGAAUAAAAUGUUCCACGUGUGGGAUUUUGUUUGUACCAUAUGAAUAAGGAUCGGCUAACUCCGUGCCAGCAGCCGCGGUAAUACGGAGGAUCCGAGCGUUAUCCGGAUUUAUUGGGUUUAAGGGGAGCGUAGGUGGAGUGUUAAGUUAGUUGUGAAAGUUUGCGGCUCAACCGUAAAAUUGCAGUUGAAACUGGCAGUCUUGAGUACAGUAGAGGUGAGCGGAAUUCGUGGUGUAGCGGUGAAAUGCUUAGAUAUCACGAAGAACUCCGAUGGCGAAGGCAGCUCACUGGACUGCAACUGACACUGAGGCUCGAAAGUGUGGGUAGCAAACAGGAUUAGAUACCCGUGUAGUC
This 460-nucleotide ribosomal RNA is filed under the name uncultured bacterium. RNAcentral's name for it is "partial 16S ribosomal RNA". It matches the Rfam family "Bacterial small subunit ribosomal RNA", at positions 338 to 795 of the family's 1533-position model. The record is from RNAcentral.